Molecule: long non-coding RNA, 6477 nt
Filed under: Sus scrofa (pig)
Lineage: Eukaryota; Metazoa; Chordata; Mammalia; Artiodactyla; Suidae
Description: lncRNA (ENSSSCG00030008142.1)
Source: RNAcentral
ACCCUGAGGAUGGCGGGGACUCUCUGACGAAGUGAGUAGUGUGUGACUGGGAGGGGGGGCCCCCGAGACAGCUCUGCCCAGGCUGCUGGUGCAGUGGGGUGUGUAUACUCAGCCCUGCCAAGGAGGAACGGGGGAUGGGUUGUCUUAUUCCACCACAAGCUAAGGUGGUAGAGACCAAGGAUCCGUUUGUGCUGUUUUGGUAUAUUUUCAGAGAGAUUCACUCUUACCGGAGGUUUUAGAAUGUUUCCUACCCAUGGGUCCUCACUGUGGGUCCCACCAGCCACAUCUGGAGCCAUUCGUCCAGGGGGUGUAGACGAGGCCUGGCAUCACCGCUUAUCCUUGCGGCAUCUGGGGCUCUCUAGAAUCUCAGCGUGGUCUCUAGCCAGCAUCAGCAUCACCUGAGAGCUUGUAAGAAAUGCAGACUCUCAGGCCUCUGAAGCAACACCUACGUGCUCCUGAGAAAACUGGCUUCCUUCCCAAGGAGCCUCUUGGAUGCUCCCUUAUUUUAUGAAGUACCUUCCCUCUUAAAUGUGGCAGAUAAGGAUUUCUCGGGUACUGAACGGAAUUUACCCCCAAUGACUAAGUCCUGAGUCAUCAAGAAAAGUUAAAUUUAGUGUGCUUUGAACUCUGUUGGUGUACGUUUUUUUUUUAAUCGGUGUAUUUCUUUAGGCAUCCAGGUAAUUGAGGUUUGUUACAUUUGCAGAGUGGCAAGAUGCAUUUUCCACCCAAAAUGGGAAAAGAUAGAAAACACCAAAGAAGUAAAAUAAUGGAAUUCUGUAAUAGCAAAAUAAAGACUGAAAAUGCACCUUCAAAUAAACCGCUUGAUGCCCCUUGCCCCCUAGUAGAGACUUGAUGGUAAACAACAUCCCAACAAAUAGAAACAGCGCUUCGCAGAUGGCAUGCUUUCCUUUUUUUCCCUGGUAACCAGUAAGAAUAUUACCCUUUAUGCACAUAAAGUAUCUAAUUCUGAAACAAGUUUUACAAAACCAAUGCCUAUGUGUUGUACUCUGAUCCUGAUACUUUCGAUUAUUUGGUUAAUGCUCAUCAAGACAGUUGGUUUUAUGACUUGCUGAUGAGUUGAGAUGCACAGUUUAAAAACAGCUUGCAUUGGAAUUCCUAUUGUGGCUCAGCAGUAACCAGCUGAUUAGUAUCCGCAAGGAUUCGGGUUCUGUCCCUGGCCUCACUCAAUGGAUUAAAGGAUCUGGUGUUGCCCUGAGCUGCAGUGUAGUUCGCAGAUGUGGCUCGGAUUUGGCGUUGCUGAGGCUGUGGCUGUGGUGUAGGCCAGCAGCUGCAGCUGCGAUCNUCCCCUAGCCUGGGAAUUCCAUAUGCCAAGGGUGCAGCCCUAAAAAGCAAAAAACAAAACAAAAACUGUUUGCAUUAAGGGACAGUGAUAGAAUAAUCCAUUCACAAAGCUAUAUUGGAAUUUCUGUCAAUAUACACACAUGAUAGAAAGGGUUUUUUUCUUUUUCCAAAAAACUUCUUGCCCCGAAGUGUUACACUCCUGUGCAUCGUCUAGCAAAUAUAAUAAAGCAUAGGCUCCUGGGUGUGAGGGAAUUUUGCCUGUGCAAAAAAGUGCAAAGUGCUUCAUGCUAGUUAAUAAUUUAAGCAUAUGUGUGCAUGAUAAAAGCAAAAGGUAUUUAACGUAGCAGGAUAUGCCCCCUUCAACCAUUCAUGGAAUUUUUAAGUGCCAGGCACUGGGAAGGAGCAGGGUCCUGGCCUCCUGGACCUUAUAGACUGUUGGUGGAUACAGAAAAGUAAAAAAGUACCAAAAUUAUAGUGAGGUUAAUGCUCACCCGUGACCUAAUUACUGGGGAGCGAUGGGAGGGGAGGGGAAGGGAGAGAUGCAAAUGAAUUGUGUUUUAAGACCACUCUGGCCACAAUGGGAUAAAAAGUGGUUGGGAGAGGGGACAGGCCAGUAGAGUAGGUAACUGAGGACUUUUAGUUUUUAUUGAGCCCUGAGUCCCAGGGGUAGAGUGGUGAACAAGAGAGACUUUACACUUGGUGAUCCCGUUGUGGCACAGCAGAAACGAAUCCGUCUAAUCACCAUGAGGUUGCGGGUUCAAUCCCUGGCAUCACUCGGUGGGUUAAGGAUCUGGCAUUGCCAUGAGCUGUGGUGUAGGUUGCAGACAUGGCUUGGAUCCCGCUUUGCUGUGGCUGUGGCAUAGGCUGGCGGCUGUAGCUCCAAUUCAACCCCUAGCCUGGGAACGUCCAUAUGCCACGGGUGUGGCCAUAAAAAGCCAAAAAAAAAAAAAAAAUCUACUCUCAGGGUGCUCUGAGGCAGGAAUGUAAUGAAAAUACAGCAAGGUGAAGUUUUUUAGGCCACACACAGUACUCUUACAGAGACCCGCUGAGGUGUUCUUGUCUCUCAAGCGAUGGUGCUCCUUGCUCUGGUUCUGAAAGGAGUUCCCACGUCUUUCCAUUGUCUCCUUUUUCUAGGUGAGCUUCUGACCUCCUGCUCUCCGCAGUUGGUCUCCUACACCAUGUGGGUUGUGUGAUACUCUGCCAAUUUCCUGUCAGCGUUGGUCUUUUUACUCCAUUUGAAGACUGCAUUCAGCCACUGAUCAAGGGCUGCCUUCAAACAAGGGACUUUGGUGUCAUUUCCCCUCUAAAGCGAAAAUGUACCUUAAAAGGAAACACCUUGUUUGUUGGCGUUCAUGACUGUUUUGGGAGCUUUCCCCUUCUGAACAUAUUAGAGGUGCAUUUUAGGUUUCCUUUCAUUCUUAACACAAGACUGUGUUGCUUUUAGCUGUUUUACUUUUCAUCUUUUUUCUUUUUAGGGCCGCACCUACGGCAUAUGGAGGUUCCCAGGUUAGGGGUUGAAUUGGCACUGCAGCUGCCAACCUACACCACUGCCACAGCAACUCGGGGUCCAAGCUGAAUCUGUGGUCUACACCAUAGUUCAGGGCAACACUGGAUGCUUAACCCACUGAGUAAGGCCAGGGAUCGAACCCAACUCCUCAUGGAUACUAGUUGGAUUCAUUAACCACCGAGCCAUGACGGGAAGUCUGCUUUUAGUUAUUUUAGAUGAGUGUGCUCAUCAGCCCUACAGAGGAAUCUCACAGGAAUUUACUAAAUUGCCUCGAGAGCUUUGAGAGGUGGUUCUAGAAAUUGGGGCUGAGGACCCAGGUCUUUGCUAGUGUGUACCGGUUAGCUGCACGGGUGCAGUAGGCAGUCCAGGGGUUUGUGUGGAGGCUUCAUGUCAUCCGGGAACCCAGGCUUCUGUCAUUCUGCUUCACAUCCUGGACCUGUGGCCUCAGUUUUACCCCUGAUCACGUUCUGUUCCAGGCAGGAAGGAGGAGGAAACGGGGUGGAAAGAGCAAAAGCUUCCUGCUGAGUUAGCCCCUUCGAAGUCUUUACUAGCCACACUUGGCUACAAGGAUGCCUGGGAAAUGCAGUCUUUGGGCCAGGCACAUUGCACCUGUCAUAAAAUCAAGGUUCCGUUAGGAAGCAAGAAGGGGAGAAUGGCUGUUCGGACAGCAACUUGCAGCCUCUGCCACACUUAUCUGUGCAUCUCAGGCAGGAAACGGGUAAAAUUUCAUUCACAGAAUGGAAUGAAGUCAUCGGCACCAGUAGUCAGUGCAGCCUUUCCCUUGCUCAUCUCAUCUCAGACAAAUGAGUCAGCUGUCACUGAACUGUCUCCCGGAGCUGCAUUUCUUGGCCCCUCGGCGUGGUAUUCAUGGUAGAAGCAGGAACCUCACCCUGACUUCAGAGACUGUUCUACUUUUGUUCUAGAACAUUCUUCUUCCCAUCUGUCGAAUUUCAGAGCAGGUGGUGACCUUCAUUUUCUAUCUGUGGCUGCAUAGUUAAAAAAAUAAAUUUGGUUUUGAGGUGCUUAUAGACUUUUAGAGAAAUUUUUUUGGGCCACACCCGCAGCAUCAGGAAGUUUUGAAGCCAGCAAUCAAACCAGUGCCACAGCAGUGAAUAGAGCCACAGCAGUGACAACACCAGGUCCUUAACCCGCUAUGCCACCAAGAGAGGCUUUAGGCUGAGAGAAUUUUUAGGUGCUCUACAGGCAGACCUUGUUUUAUUGUGCUUGGCUUUACUGUCCUUUAUAGAUACUGUGUUUUCUUUCUUUGUGUGUGUGUGUGUGUGUGUAUGUCUUUUUGCCAUUUUCUUGGGCCGCUCCCUCGGCAUGUGGAGGUUCCCAGGCUAGGGGUCUAAUUGGAGCUGUAGCCACCAGCCUACGCCAGAGCCACAGCAACGCGGGAUCCAAGCCGCAUCUGAAAUCUUCACCACAGCUCACAGCAACGCCAGAUCCUUAACCCACUGAGCAAGGCCAGGGAUCGAACCUGCAACCUCAUGGUUCCUAGUUGGAUUCGUUAACCACUGAGCCACGACGGGAACUCCGAUACUGUGUUUUCUAUAAAUGGAAGGUUUGCGGCAACCAUGCGUGGAGCAAAAUCUAUGGAUGCCAUUUUUUUCCAACAGCGUUUUUUCACUUUGUGUCUCUGUCACAUUUUGGUCAUUCUCAUAAUAUUUCAAAGCUUUUUCAUUAUUAUAUUUGUUUUGGUGGUCUGUGAGCAGUAGCCUUUGAUGUUAUUGCUGCGACGUGCUGAAAGUGCAAGUGAUGGUUAACAUUUUUAGCAAUAAAAUUUUCAGGAAUUCCUGUUGUGGCUCAUCAGGUUAAGAACCUGACAUAGUGUCCUUGAGGAUGCAGGUUCAAUCCCUGGCCUCUCUUAGUGUGUUAAGGAUCCGUUGUUUCCACAAGCUGCAGUGUAACUUGCAGAUGUGGCUCGGAUCUUGCAUUGCCCUGGCUGUGGCUGUGGUGUGGGCUGGCAGCUGCACCUCUGAUUUGACCCCUACCUAGCUCAGGAAUUUCCAUAUGCCUCAGGUGUGGCCCUAAAAAAAUUUUUUUUUAAUUAAGCCAUGUACAUUUUUUAGACACGAAGCUAUUGUACACAUAGUAGACUUAAGUAUAGCGUAAACAUAAGUUUUAUAUGCACUGGGAAACCAAAAAAUUUUCAUGACUUGCUUUAUUGUGGUGGUCUGGAACCAAAUCCACAACAUUUCUGAGGCCUGUAUUUGCUUAACUUUAAGGUUAAAAACAGAUUAUAAAAUAUUCAAUAUAGCAGAGCUGUUAAGAAUUUGGGCUGUGGAUUGAGACCUGAUCCCACAAGAUUAUAGUCGUAUGAUCUUGGGCAACUGAUGGAAAUGUCCUGUAUGUGCCUGAGUUUACUCAUCUGUAAAGUGGAAUAACAGUUGGAAUUUGCUGAAAAGAGACCAGUGAUAAAGCACAUGCCUUUCCUGCUCUGCUGGCCACAUCCAAUGGUUCCAAGGAUGGUAAAGCUCUCUAGGGCAGUGGAUAAGCCCUACCUGAAACACGGGGUGGUGCCAGCCUCCAGAGACCUUCAGCUCACAGUGCAGAGGAUGCUUCUGUCUGGGACAGAGCUCUUGUGACAUGUACCUGAGGGGCUGUGGUCCCCUGCACACUGGGGCUGAGACCCUAGGUAUAUGUAGCACGUGGAUACAUCAGGAAUUGUUGCCAUGUAUCCUUUUUGGGAAUAGAAACUGGAAGAAUGAGAAUGAGUGGCUGUACUCAGAAUGUAAUUGGUACUACAUUAAUUUUGAGAAAUUCAGUGCAAGUUCAUUUUUUCAACGUACAUGUAUUUGUUACUCAGAGGUGUUGAGAGGUCACUUGCUGGAAAACACACAGUUAAUAAGUAGCAGAGCCAGGAAGCCGCUUUCCCAGCCACUGCACUUAACCUAAUCUCAGGCCAUGGUGGCCUCAGUCCGUUCCCUUUGGUGCAGAAGCACUGCUCAAGCCUACUUUUCAGAGUGGGUUAAGGGGGGCCUGCCCCUGAGUCUUGAAUAUCCUGUGCAGGGAGGAUUUGCACGCAGACCCAGGGCAGGAGAGAGGGGCACCUUCUUGUUAUAAAAAAAAAAUGGGGGGAGAAUUCUCUCUGACCCAAUAGUUGAAGAAUCACAAGGGAUUUCCAUGCACAGGAUGGGCUGUCUUACAAGCAGUUUAAAAGCUGGAGAAAGAAACGGCCAAUUUAUCUUUUUCCUUCCACAAGUAGGAUAUAUUUUUGUUCAGUAAAUAUAUGUUGGUUAAAUGAACCACACUGAGGCUGGAUUCCAGCCAGCUGAUAACCAAGUUUACUGCCUAAUACAGAAGUUGUUUCUCUACUUCCUGUUUUUCAGGGUCCAAAAAUGUAUUGUGAGCCUCUUUCACACAGGAAAAUUUAAAAAUCAAACAAAAAACCUGCAGUGCUUGGAUUUCCCAUUGUGGCUCAGCAGGUUAAGAACCCAACCUAGUGUCCAUGAGGAUGUGGGUUCAGUCCCUGGCCUCACUCAGUGGGUCAGGUGUCUGGCGUUGCCACAAGUUGUGGUAUAGGUCACAGAGGCAAUGGGGAUCUGGCGUAGCUGUGGCUGUGGUGAAGGCCAGCACCUACAGCCCCGAUUUGACCCCUAGCCCAGGAACUUCCAUAUGCAACAGGUGCAGACCUAAAAAAAGAAAAAUAGAAAAAAAAAAAAAGU